AUCCAGCAGACGAGUCGCAAUUAGGACGAAACGCGAGUCCUGAAU
This 45-nucleotide non-coding RNA is filed under the name Schistosoma mattheei. The record is from RNAcentral. Lineage: Eukaryota; Metazoa; Platyhelminthes; Trematoda; Strigeidida; Schistosomatidae.